This is a long non-coding RNA of Mirounga angustirostris (Northern elephant seal), 3090 nucleotides long. RefSeq lists it as uncharacterized. The record is from RefSeq and is a predicted model, not a curated record. The transcript is spliced from 4 exons. Lineage: Eukaryota; Metazoa; Chordata; Mammalia; Carnivora; Phocidae.
UACAAGUGGUGUGGAUGGGAUGCCACACAGGCUCAUCACAGUGGCAGAGAACCACCUACCAUCGACAACAGAGCCAGUAUAGAAUAGAGUCUCCACACGGAAAUGGCAAGGCUCCAUAGCUGGUGCCAUUUUCCUACUCUUCUUAGCAGCCUGGGAUUGAGCCUCAGAGAAAGGGUAUCAGCGCUGGAGUCACAGGAGAGCUACCUUUCUCUAGAGGACUGAUUUGAGGCCUGGAAGGCAUGCUGGAUUAGGAGGACCUUCAUGAAUCUGAUGACCAUUGGAGCCUUAACAAAUCACCAUGCCUUUAAUGAUAAAGUAGGAGAAGGAAGUCUUUAAUUGGCUUCCAGUUGCCAUCAUGAAGAUCUCUUAUUUACAGUCAAAGAAUCCCAAAGAGAACUAUUGUGAAAAAUAAGAGCAUCUUAAUUGACUGCCUUAAAGCUAUGCAUUUCAGACAUCACAGAGGCUGAGCUCUCCCUUGAGGAUGGAUGGAUACGAAAAUUCAACUAUUAUCUAAGGUUGGAGUCUCGUGCCCCCUACCCACCGCCCCAGCCUGUGCUCAGGUCUGCCCUAUUCCUCUCACCUCCAAUCUUCUGCCUUUGAGCAUUGAGUCUUUGCAGUUUAGAACCCUCCCUUUUCCUAGGAAUUGAAGAUUUCAGGCUUCUCUUGUGAGUAUUUUAAAACAAUCUUAUCUGCUUGAGAUUUACUUUUUCUUAGAAAUUUUUAGCUUGAGUAGGAGUCAAAGAAGAGUCCACCUAAAUAAGUAGUAUUUUACCAUUUGCUUAAUUAACUCAUGGCAUCUUUUCCAUUGGGUUCAAACACAGGUUACACUAUUUACCAGCUGGGUGACCUUCAGCAAAUUACUUAAUUCCUUAUUUAUAUCAUAAGGAUAGUAAUAAUACCUACCUCCUAAUAUUAUUAUAAAGUUUAAAUGAGUUGAUAGGUUUAAAGUAUUUAAAAUGGUGAUGGCCAUAUGGUAAACUCAAUAUUUGUUAGUGAUUGUUAUUAUUACUAAUAGGGCUAUCAUUUCUAAAGUUCAAGAUAAAAGUUGGUUUUCAGGGUACUAGCUUUUUUUGAUAUUAACAAAAACUAUGAACAUAGGCUAUCUACCUAUAUGAAAAUUAAAUAUGCACUAAUAUUUUAAUUUGUGUUCAACAUUUUUUAUAAAAGAAAGAAGAUACAAAUGAAGUUUUCUAAAGCAAGAUCUUAGGCAAUGAAACACAAGGCACUUUUAUUUGUAGGAAAGGAUGACGAUAGAUUAGUUAGAAAAAAUUACACAUAAAAAGGGUUUAGUGUAGUUACCAAAUGCUUAGGAUUGUAUGAGAUAAGAAAGUUGUGUAGGUUAUUAAUGCAGAGUUUAGUGUGUGUGUGUGUGUGCACAUGCAUCAGGUAAGUGUUAGCUAAACACGGGCAAGACAAUAACUAUUGCCAGGUACUUUCAUACUUGAUCUUGCUCCACAAUGACACUGUGAGAUCCUUGGUUAUGGAUAAAAAAUCUAAGGCCUAAAUAGGCUAGGUCUUUAAACACAAAUCUUCUGAAUCUAGUAUUCAUUACUUUAGAUUGAAGUCUGGUGCUCUUUAGACUCUACAAUAAUUAUACCCAUAUUGGGCACAGGGGAGAGAAAAGAACAAGAUAGACAUGGUCCCUGCCUUCUUGAAGCUUCCAAUUUAACAAAGAAGACAAACUUCAAAAAAGUAAUUAGAAGUGUUAAAAAAAAAUUAAGAGAACUUCUAGGUAGCUAAAGGCAGUGGUGGCCACAAAGCUAUCAGUCUCCCACUAUAUCUCCCCCAAACAAGAUGGGAAAUGUAAACCUACACAAAAACCAAGCCUUCAGCAUGACUUGAAGACAUAAAAUGCCAAAGCUUCAAAGAAAGCGUAGAUAAAAAAAAUAGAAAUUUCCAGAUCCUAGUGCAGUCUUCCAUGCUGCCACCUCCCAUGUGCCAGCCACAAGGCAAAAAGAGAAAAACUGUGGGAAAGAUAGAAGGAGAAGGCUAGGGAGGGGGCACAGAACUGAUCCAACAUCAGCCUCAGAAGGAUUAAGUCUACCUUAGUCUGAAUAUUCUAAGAAAGCAUCUGAAUAGAUCAGAGCACGGAUUACAAGGGAAGGAAUCCAAAAGUCCUUAUGGGUUAAGAUUGCCCUUAAGGGGGCAAUCUUUGAAACACAUAGCUUCUAGAAGAGAAACAAAAGCAAUAAAAGAGAAACUCCCCUUGGCAAUUAGGUGGUGAAAAGGAAAAGAGCUAAAGGGGGAAAUGCAGGGUCCUACAGCAUAGAAGAAAAAUAUAAAACCAGAGGACAUGUAGCCUUUCUAACCCCUACCCACACAAACAAACAGAUCUGCUUAAAGUGUCUGGACUUUGUUAUGGAGAGAGAAAGGACAUCACUAAACUAGGAAUCUUAUGAAAUACUCCAAUACCCCAAAAAAUGAACAAAAGGAAAAUCAGCAAAUCCACCUAGAACUGUUUUAAAAAAUCAGAGAACAAAAUUUCACCCACAUGUGGAUAAGUUUCCAUAGGAAAAAUAACCAUAUAGCAGAAGAAAAUGGUAAGAAAAAUAUAAUUAAACAUACAUUUGAGAAUAUGAAAAACCACUGUGUAAGAAAUUUAAAAACUAAGAAAGGACGGGUGCGUGGGUGGCUCAGUCAGUUAAGCGUCUAACUCUUAGUUUUGGCUCAGGUCAUGAUCGCAGGGUAGUGAGAUCAAGCCCCAUGUUAGGCUCGUGAUCGGCAGGGAGUCUGCUUGAGAUUCUCUCCCUCUCCUUCUCCCUCUGCCCCUCCCUCCACUUGCUCUCUCUCUCUCUCUCUCCCUAAAAUAAAUAAAUAAAUCUUUUUUAAAAACUAAGAAAGGAAAGAAUAAUAAAAAAAAAAAACCAGGGAGAUAAGAAAAGACAGUUGACUUAAUUCAUGAAAGAAUUAAAGAAAAGACAAAAUUAUCUCAGAAAUAACCAAUUGUAAGGUACCCAAGGAAGAAUAGAUUCAAGUGAAAUUUAAUAAGGGACAAUGAAGAAAGACAAGCAAACAACCAAGAUAAUGAUAAGGAGAUAAAGAAAGAAGUAAAACUGAUCAUAGAGAAAGUAGGAAAAAUGAAUGACAGAA